This 67-nucleotide non-coding RNA is filed under the name Tumebacillus flagellatus. RNAcentral's name for it is "c-di-GMP sequence". It matches the Rfam family "c-di-GMP-I riboswitch aptamer", at positions 1 to 70 of the family's 87-position model. Rfam says of the family: GEMM was predicted in a large-scale screen for bacterial structured RNA regulatory elements. Genes associated with GEMM are involved in a diverse array of functions, including chemotaxis regulation, signal transduction, secretion and chitin. The record is from Rfam by way of RNAcentral. Lineage: Bacteria; Bacillati; Bacillota; Bacilli; Caryophanales; Alicyclobacillaceae.
CUCCCGUUAAGGCAAACCUGUUGAAAGACAGGGACGCAAAGCCACGACCAAGGGCGGAGUCACCACG